Molecule: ribosomal RNA, 464 nt
Filed under: uncultured bacterium
Lineage: Bacteria
Description: bacterial SSU rRNA
Rfam family: Bacterial small subunit ribosomal RNA
Source: RNAcentral
AAUGAACGUUGGCGGCAUGGAUUAGGCAUGCAAGUCGAGCGCGAUGUGUAGCAAUACACGGAAAGCGGCGGAAGGGAGAGUAAUACGUGGGAAUCUGCCCUUAGACCUGGGAUAGCAGCGGGAAACUGCUGGUAAUACCAGAUAAUGUCUAUGGACCAAAGGUGUGAUUCCGUCUAGGGAUGAGCCCACGUCCUAUUAGCUAGUUGGUAGGGUAAUGGCCUACCAAGGCGAUGAUGGGUAGCGGGUGUGAGAGCAUGACCCGCCUCACGUGGGACUGAGACACUCGCCAGACACCGUACGGGUGGCUGCAGUCGAGAAUCUUCGGCAAUGGGCGCAAGCCUGACCGAGCGAUGCCGCGUGCGGGAUGGAGGCCUUCGGGUUGUAAACCGCUGUCGAGGGGAGCAACUCCAUAGAUUAUCUUUAUGGAUUGAGUGAUCCUGGAGGAAGGACGGGCUAAGUUCGUG